CCGAGGCCGGCCGCGUGGCUGGAAGUCAUGGCUGCCUCUGUCCGGGCCCAGGUCGGCGCGCAGCCUCGGGCCUCAGGCCUUUGGCCAUGGCCUGCCUUGAGCAUCUGCAGAGACAGAAGCGGACUUGCAGGUUGAAGCUUAAAAGUAAUGAAUGGAGCCCCGGAAUGAGUUCAAGGUGUGGGCUGUGGACUGAGAAAAGUCACGUGAAAACCAUCAUCUUCAGAUGUUGAGUGUAAGGAUCUUCGUGAUGGAAAUUUCUAUAAAUGGCUAGUCCAACCUUGGUUUCGGACCCGAAACGGACCCUCCAGGAGAAGCCUCUAAGCCGCAGUGUCUGCAGUGUGAGGCACAGGACUGAGCGGCUUUGCCCGAAGCAAGAGAAAGGGUUCCUCCCGCUGUGACCGCCCCGUUGUGCCGGCCGGAUCCGCGCAGCCUCUGUUAAUAGUAAUGCCUGUCAAGUGUUCCCCCCAAAGGAGAAUAUUUCAGAGCCCUGCGGACUCCAUCUUCGAAAAUAGCCAAAUAACCUGAGAGAAAAUAGUUUAUCCCAUAAAGUCUUGGGCAAUUAGUGAAAUUGGGGUCUAACUGAGAACAUUCGGGAACCGCAGCUUAGGGGAUCUAUUGCAUUACUUGUGUAUUGGCGGGGCUGCAGCAGCGGUAAAGGAAGGUAAUUAACGUGCACUGAGUGUGCUCUUUUUCGGGAAGCAGCUGCUCCGCCUAGAAAAACAUUUCUCAAAGUGGAAUUCUUAAGUCAGUGUGUCUUGGGCUUAAAUUUUGAAGCACAAAUAAACAUUUUCAAAGUA
Long non-coding RNA from Eptesicus fuscus (big brown bat), 797 nucleotides. RefSeq lists it as uncharacterized. Lineage: Eukaryota; Metazoa; Chordata; Mammalia; Chiroptera; Vespertilionidae. The transcript has 6 exons. The record is from RefSeq and is a predicted model, not a curated record.